This 737-nucleotide ribosomal RNA is filed under the name uncultured Enterococcus sp. RNAcentral describes it as "bacterial SSU rRNA". It matches the Rfam family "Bacterial small subunit ribosomal RNA", at positions 8 to 717 of the family's 1533-position model. Lineage: Bacteria; Bacillati; Bacillota; Bacilli; Lactobacillales; Enterococcaceae. The record is from RNAcentral.
AGAGUUUGAUCCUGGCUCAGGACGAACGCUGGCGGCGUGCCUAAUACAUGCAAGUCGAACGCUUUUUCUUUCACCGGAGCUUGCUCCACCGAAAGAAAAAGAGUGGCGAACGGGUGAGUAACACGUGGGUAACCUGCCCAUCAGAAGGGGAUAACACUUGGAAACAGGUGCUAAUACCGUAUAACAAGUAAAACCGCAUGGUUUUACUUUGAAAGGCGCUUUUGCGUCACUGAUGGAUGGACCCGCGGUGCAUUAGCUAGUUGGUGAGGUAACGGCUCACCAAGGCAACGAUGCAUAGCCGACCUGAGAGGGUGAUCGGCCACAUUGGGACUGAGACACGGCCCAAACUCCUACGGGAGGCAGCAGUAGGGAAUCUUCGGCAAUGGACGAAAGUCUGACCGAGCAACGCCGCGUGAGUGAAGAAGGUUUUCGGAUCGUAAAACUCUGUUGUUAGAGAAGAACAAGGAUGAGAGUAAAAUGUUCAUCCCUUGACGGUAUCUAACCAGAAAGCCACGGCUAACUACGUGCCAGCAGCCGCGGUAAUACGUAGGUGGCAAGCGUUGUCCGGAUUUAUUGGGCGUAAAGCGAGCGCAGGCGGUUUCUUAAGUCUGAUGUGAAAGCCCCCGGCUCAACCGGGGAGGGUCAUUGGAAACUGGGAAACUUGAGUGCAGAAGAGGAGAGUGGAAUUCCAUGUGUAGCGGUGAAAUGCGUAGAUAUAUGGAGGAACACCAGUGGCG